This 566-nucleotide ribosomal RNA is filed under the name Clostridioides difficile. Its description in RNAcentral is "partial 23S ribosomal RNA". It matches the Rfam family "Bacterial large subunit ribosomal RNA", at positions 264 to 811 of the family's 2925-position model. Lineage: Bacteria; Bacillati; Bacillota; Clostridia; Peptostreptococcales; Peptostreptococcaceae. The record is from RNAcentral.
GUGUUCAAGCCGGCAGGUGUUGCAUGUGCGGGGUUGUGGGGGCCUAGUGGUUCUGCUGCCGCAGGAUUGGCCAGUGAGAAAUGUUGCGUGGAGGUGAAGCGUCUGGGAAGGCGUACCGGAGUGGGUGAGAGUCCUGUAACUGUAAGCGUGGCGCUGGUGUGGGGUUGCCCCGAGUAGCGUGGGACUCGUGGAAUUUCGCGUGAAUCUGGCGGGACCACCCGUCAAGCCUAAAUACUCCUUGGUGACCGAUAGUGGAUGAGUACCGUGAGGGAAGGGUGAAAAGUACCCCGGGAGGGGAGUGAAAGAGUUCCUGAAACCGGUCGCAUGCAAGCCGACAGAGCCUGUGUGGUGAUGGCGUGCCUUUUGAAGAAUGAGCCUGCGAGUUAGUGAUGCGUGGCGAGGUUAACCCGUGGUGGGGGAGUCGUAGCGAAAGCGAGUCCGAUAAGGGCGUGAGUCGCGUGUUCUAGACCCGAAGCGGUGUGAUCUAUCCAUGGCCAGGAUGAAGCGUCGGUAAGACGUCGUGGAGGUCCGAACCCACUUCAGUUGAAAAUGGAGGGGAUGAGUUG